CAAAAAGUGUUAUGGGAGCUAAGCAGAAGCAGCAACUGCUUGAAAAAAGAUUUUACAGAAAAGGUGGUAUCUGAGAUGGAUCUUGAGUGAGGGACAGGAUUUCAUGAAGAGGCAUAACUAAGGAUUGGUGAACUGUAAGAAUUCCCCCAUAUGAAGGGAGAAGCACAGGGUGAAAAAGAGAAAAGAAGAAAGAUGGUUGGGGCCACAUUCUUUCAACAAAUACUGAACACCUAUCAAGUGCCCAGCACAGAACACUUACAGACCCUAAAGCCACCCCAAAAGUGAUAAGCAAGCUUCCGAAAAAGAUGUCUGCAGAAUACAAAUCCUCCACCGUAUCCUGUCCGUUGCAUCCCCUCCCACCUGCUACCACUUCUAUCCACUUUACCGAUAUGGUCACGAUGAGCGCUACAAAAUUGCUGCCAAAUAAUGUUGUGAACUACUUGUCAUGGGAUAACCAAAAUUAAACCUGGAAUCUCAGAAGAAACAAAUUGUUUGAAGAAGUUGGAUGUGCUUUAAAAUUUUUAAAUUUUUCAUUCAACUAAAACUUUGUGAACUGUUUCUUGGUUGUGGUCUUCUCUAAAUUGUAAUCUUUGGCAUUCACUUCCAAAGUAUCCCCCACUAAACUUCAUAACAUUUAUUGUGUCUCUUCAUUAUUAAACUUUGAUGAAUUUACAGAGUGUCUUUUGAAAUUAUGUUCUUGAGAAAGGUAAGUUCCCUAAAAA
This 722-nucleotide long non-coding RNA is filed under the name Pan troglodytes (chimpanzee). RNAcentral describes it as "long non-coding RNA NONPTRT016031". The record is from RNAcentral. Lineage: Eukaryota; Metazoa; Chordata; Mammalia; Primates; Hominidae.